GUUCGCUGCCGCAUAGGCAGCUCAGAAA
Delftia acidovorans SPH-1 is the source of this 28-nucleotide non-coding RNA. Lineage: Bacteria; Pseudomonadati; Pseudomonadota; Betaproteobacteria; Burkholderiales; Comamonadaceae. The record is from Rfam.